AACGCGAAGAACCUUACCUGGGCUUGACAUGUGAGUGACCGGCGUGGAAACACGUCUUCCCUUCGGGGCACUUUCACAGGUGGUGCAUGGCUGUCGUCAGCUCGUGUCGUGAGAUGUUGGGUUAAGUCCCGCAACGAGCGCAACCCCCGUCGCAUGUUGCCAGCAUUCAGUUGGGGACUCAUGCGAGACUGCCGGUGACAAACCGGAGGAAGGUGGGGAUGACGUCAAGUCCUCAUGCCCCUUAUGUUCAGGGCUACACACGUGCUACAUUGGCGCAUACAGAGGGCUGCGAUACCGCGAGGUGGAGCGAAUCCCUUAAAGUGCGUCUCGGUUCGGAUUGCAGGCUGAAAUUCGCCUGCAUGAAGGCGGAGUUGCUAGUAAUCGCGGAUCAGCAUUGCCGCGGUGAAUACGUUCCCGGGCCUUGUA
RNAcentral lists this ribosomal RNA (426 nucleotides) under uncultured Actinomycetes bacterium. RNAcentral's name for it is "bacterial SSU rRNA". It matches the Rfam family "Bacterial small subunit ribosomal RNA", at positions 958 to 1385 of the family's 1533-position model. The record is from RNAcentral. Lineage: Bacteria; Bacillati; Actinomycetota; Actinomycetes.